GAGUGUGGCCAGCAGGUUGAGGCAGGUUAUUGUACCCUUCUACUCUGCCUUGGUGAGGCUGCAUCUGCAGUACUGUGUCCAGUUUUGAGCUCCCCAGUUCAAUAAUGACAAGGAAUUACUGGAGAGGGUCCAGCAGAGGGUUAUGAAGAUGAUUACGGGCCUGUAGCAACUCUUUCAGGAGGAACAACUGGGAGGGUUGGGCUUGUUCAGGCUGGAAAAGAGACAACUGAGAGGGGAUCUUAUUAAUGCAUACAAAUAUCUUAAUGCCAGGUGUCAACAGGAUGGAGCCAGACUCUUUUCAAUGGUGCCCAGCAACAGGACAAGGAUCAACAAGCACAGACUGAAACACUGGAAAUUCCAUUUGAAUAUAAGCCUCACCAUUCUUUUGUAUCUGAGCACUUCACAAAUAAGAAAGAAAGUUUUAUAGGCUAUGUCCAGACUCCUCUGAAACAACAGCAAGAAGAGUAGCUGUGAGCCAGGUGAUUUCUACCUCUGACAAGCCUACUGUCCAAACUGCUGCCACGCCAGCAGUCUGCAGACCUGUCUGGACAUCUUGGUGGUAAUAUGAAGCCAUCAGAAGAUCCAUUGGAAUGGAUUUGGCCACUGGUUCUUCACAACAUUCACUUCACUGCAACCUCAAUGGAUGAGACUGCAAGAGUAGCUGCAGACAAGAUGAGACAGUGGCAAACUGACUGGACUAGACUAUUUACAAUUAGCAGCUUUUACCAAGACUGUCCCUCUCUUUGGAUCUGGGCCAAAUUUGAAAAGCACCUGCUCUCCAGUACAACAUGGGGUUUUUUUAAACCCUAUAAAAUCUCUAUUGAUCUUAGUCAAUUAUUAAUAUCAUUCCUUUCUGUAUGAAAGAUGUUAGUUAUCUGAGAUAUGCUCUCCUUGAAUUAUAAAAAUGUACGUAAUUUAGCAGCAGAGCAAUAAA
This is a long non-coding RNA of Chiroxiphia lanceolata (lance-tailed manakin), 934 nucleotides long. RefSeq lists it as uncharacterized. The record is from RefSeq and is a predicted model, not a curated record. The transcript has 3 exons. NCBI's taxonomy places the organism in Eukaryota, Metazoa, Chordata, Aves, Passeriformes, Pipridae.